This is a long non-coding RNA of Oncorhynchus tshawytscha (Chinook salmon), 261 nucleotides long. The record is from Ensembl. Lineage: Eukaryota; Metazoa; Chordata; Actinopteri; Salmoniformes; Salmonidae.
GGGGAUUCUGGGAGGUGUUAGGGGCAGAAGGUGGGGAUUCUGGGGGAUUCUGGGAGGUGUUAGGGGCAGAAGGUGGGGAUUCUGGGACGUGUCAGGGGAAGAAGGUGGGGAUUCUGGGGGAUUCUGGGAGGUGUUAGGGGCAGAAGAUGGGCCUCCUGGGGGAUUCUGGGAGGUGUUAGGGGCAGAAGGUGGGUCUCCUGGGGGAUUCUGGGAGGUGUUAGGGGCAGAAGGUGGGCCUCCUGGGGGAUUCUGGGAGGUGUU